AGAGAGAGGGGAUGAGGAAAUGGAAAAAAAAAAAAAGAAAAAAGAAAAAGAAAGAUUACUACACGGUGAAAGGAGGAAGAGAGAUUGAGAGAAAAGAGAGACAGAGAAAUAGAGAGGCAGAGAUAGAGAGACAUCACCGUAAGGGCGCCUUCCGUUUCUCCUAUUCGAAUACUUUCUUUUCGCUUCCUUUUCAAUUUUCUUAACACCGAUGCUUGCAAUCCAGAGAUAGAGAAGGAGGAAAAAAUAAACCUUGUGAUACAGAGUUGAGAAGGAGACAGACAUUGAGAGAACUACCACCGGUUUGGAGAGGGCAAAAACAGAGAAAUAAGAGAGAAGGAGAGAGUUUUCCUUCCCUCUUUAGACUUAGAGCACCGUUGCAGCACAUAGGGAAAGAAAAAUCUAUGGGCAUCGACACCGUUAGGCUACAUAUCUAUUACCAUUAGAUCGUUGGAACCGGCUCCGUUUUCCCAGAUUAUCUGCUGCUGAACAAUCUCAAAACCGGGACUUCUUACCAAGUGCCAAAUCAAGUUCAAAGGUAACUAUUGACUGUCAUUCACAUGGGCAACAAAGCUCUACAUCAACUUUGACAUUACAAAAGUCACAAAGGAAAUUAUGCCAAAAGGACAUUCUAAAGGAUUGGAUGGAUAACUUUCUUACAUAAUAGAAAAAUAGUUGCAGAAAUAGAAGACUUGGAUGCAUAAAAAAUGCUUAAGAAUUAUGCACCAAGUUCUAUUCUUCAUACCCUUUUCUUAUUUACUUAAUUUUCUAUUUUAUUUCAGAUUAUGAGAGAUUUAAUUUUCUGUAUUUAGGCUAUGGUUUUGUAAUCUGAGCAUCCUAAGACUCUUAUAUCAACGUGAAUUUAAGUUUUGUAAUAUAUGUGAUUCUAAUUUUGAACUCAGUUAUAAUUGUAGAUUGUAAUUCAUUUGUCUCU
Long non-coding RNA from Quercus robur (English oak), 931 nucleotides. RefSeq lists it as uncharacterized. Lineage: Eukaryota; Viridiplantae; Streptophyta; Magnoliopsida; Fagales; Fagaceae. The transcript has 4 exons. The record is from RefSeq and is a predicted model, not a curated record.